GCAUAUCAAUAAGCGGAGGAAAAGAAACCAACAGGGAUUGCCCUAGUAACGGCGAGUGAAGCGGCAUCAGCUCAAAUUUGAAAUCUGGCUCUUUCAGAGUCCGAGUUGUAAUUUGCAGAGGGCGCUUUGGUGUCGGCAGCGGUCCAAGUUCCUUGGAACAGGACGUCACAGAGGGUGAGAAUCCCGUACGUGGUCGCUGACCUACACCGUGUAAAGCCCCUUCGACGAGUCGAGUUGUUUGGGAAUGCAGCUCUAAAUGGGAGGUAAAUUUCUUCUAAAGCUAAAUACUGGCCAGAGACCGAUAGCGCACAAGUAGAGUGAUCGAAAGAUGAAAAGCACUUUGGAAAGAGAGUCAAACAGCACGUGAAAUUGUUGAAAGGGAAGCGCUUGCAGCCAGACUUGCUUGUAGUUGCUCAUCCGGGCUUUUGCCCGGUGCACUCUUCUGCGAGCAGGCCAGCAUCAGUUUGGACGGUUGGAUAAAGGCCUCUGUCACGUACCUUCUCUCGGGAAGGCCUUAUAGGGGAGGCGUCAUGCAACCAGUCUGGACUGAGGUCCGCGC
Molecule: ribosomal RNA, 559 nt
Filed under: Pyrenochaetopsis leptospora
Lineage: Eukaryota; Fungi; Ascomycota; Dothideomycetes; Pleosporales; Pyrenochaetopsidaceae
Description: eukaryotic LSU rRNA
Rfam family: Eukaryotic large subunit ribosomal RNA
Source: RNAcentral